This is an RNA transcript of Daphnia magna, 1319 nucleotides long. It is a transcript of the gene named extensin-2-like, with no coding region annotated. The record is from RefSeq and is a predicted model, not a curated record. NCBI's taxonomy places the organism in Eukaryota, Metazoa, Arthropoda, Branchiopoda, Diplostraca, Daphniidae. The transcript has 2 exons.
GCUGUCACUACCUUUAAAGGUGCACGUGUCGUAACCGCAGGGCGAAUAAAUUGAAACAGGAUGACUUUGGAGUCUUAUAAAAUGAGAGGACAAAGGUGUUUUAAUUCAGUGUAGCGAGUGCAGUUUUGCAGAUAUGGCUAACUACGGCGCGAUGCUGCUGUUGGUUGUUGUUUCUUUGAUGGCUGGUGUAGCCAUGGGUGGACCGAUGGGCUCGUCUUCAUCAGGAUACUACACUACUCCGGCGCCUUACUACACGACAACAUAUGCUGCCCCCAGCUACUACACCGGGUCACCUCAGUACUACACGACAAAAGCGUCAGAGUAUUACACAACAGCCUCUUACUACACCACUACGUAUGCUGCUCCGACCUACUACACUGAAGCCCCCAUGUACUACUCGGCUCCAAGUUACUACACAGAGGCCCCAAUUUAUUACACGACAACUUACUCUACUCCAAGCUACUACACUGAGGCUACCAAAUACUACGCAGCAAAGGCACCGGAGUAUUACACAACGACUUACGCUGCCCCAAGUUACUACACCGCAACUGGUCCUUCGUACUACGUGGAACCUAGCUACUACACCACAACUUAUGCUGCUCCGUCUUACUAUGCUGAGGCUGCUGAAUACUACACCACCAAGGCUCCCGAGUACACAACGUAUGCUUCGCCAAGUUACUAUACCGAAGCCCCAAAGUACUACACUACUACCUAUGCUGCUCCAAUUUACUACACCGAAGCUCCCCAAUCCUACACCACUAGCCACUGAAUACUACACUACUGCAGCCCCGGAGUAUUACCCCAAGAAAACUGAGUAAUACACCACACCUUACGCAGCUCCAGCCUACUACACUGAGCCCCCAAAGUAUUACCAGACUGAGGCUCCACAAUACUACACCACGAAGGCCCCCGAGUACUACACCAUAAAGUAUUCUGCUCCCAUCUACUACACCGAGGCACCCAAGUACUACUCAGCUCCAAGUUACUACCAAACUGAAGCCCCCAAAUACUACACCACAAAAGCGCCAGAGUACUACACCACCACUUACGCUGCUCCCAGUUACUACACCGAGGCUCCAGCCUACUACACAACAUAUGCAACCCCAUCCUACUACACUGAGCCACCAAAGUACUAUUAAUCGUUAAAAUUGUGUUGUCUAUCUAGUUCGAUGAAGUGUCAAUUAGAUUUUGUUUUAUCAUUGGUAGUCCUCGUUCCAAAUUAAGUAUUUCCUUGAUAUAUAUUUAUGCAUUCACCAGUCGUUCCAUAACAUUGUGGUUUCUCAAUGAAAUGUUGAAUACAAAUGUAUAUUGUUACCUAA